RNAcentral lists this ribosomal RNA (301 nucleotides) under uncultured bacterium. RNAcentral describes it as "partial 16S ribosomal RNA". It matches the Rfam family "Bacterial small subunit ribosomal RNA", at positions 509 to 807 of the family's 1533-position model. The record is from RNAcentral.
CAGCCGCCGCGGGAAUACGUAGGUGGCAAGCGUUGUCCGGAAUUAUUGGGCGUACAGGGCUCGCAGGCGGUUUCUUAAGUCUGAUGUGAAAGCCCCCGGCUCAACCGGGGAGGGUCAUUGGAAACUGGGAAACUUGAGUGCAGAAGAGGAGAGUGGAAUUCCACGUGUAGCGGUGAAAUGCGUAGAGAUGUGGAGGAACACCAGUGGCGAAGGCGACUCUCUGGUCUGUAACUGACGCUGAGGAGCGAAAGCGUGGGGAGCGAACAGGAUUAGAUACCCCGGUAGUCCCUGUCUCUUAUAC